Molecule: non-coding RNA, 776 nt
Organism: Epinephelus lanceolatus (giant grouper)
Lineage: Eukaryota; Metazoa; Chordata; Actinopteri; Perciformes; Serranidae
Source: RefSeq, a predicted model, not a curated record
GCAUGCUAAUCAGGAUCUGGAAGCUGCCCUUCACUGUGUGGUUGAGCUCUUCCUGGAGCUCACACCUUCCCAGGGGUGUAGUAAGCCCACAACUUACUGACCUGCGCUGCAACCAGUAUGUCCCCUUUUGAGAGUAUAUUGGGCUAUCAACCGCCUCUGUUCCCAGCUCAGGAAGAGGAGGUCUCUGUGAUGUCAGUGCAGGCUCAUCUCCGGCAAUGCUGCAGGAUCUGGAAGGUCAUCGUGCUGCUCUGCCCCACAUGGCCAACCGCAACCAGCGCCUUGCAGACCGCCAUAGGAUCCCAGCUCCCACCUAUCAGCCAGUUGAAACCAGUCUCCCUCAGUCUGGAAGUCCCGAUCCUCCUCCGCCCACCCAGAUCAUGGAUGAUCAUAUGGCCCUCACCAUCUGGCAGCUGCUAUCUAUUUGCCGUCGUGGCCGGGGAUAUCACUACGUCAUUGAUUGGGAGGGAUAUGGUCCUGAGAAACGUUGCUGGAUCCCUCAGCGUGUCAUCCUUGAUCCUGCUCUCAUCAGGGACUUCCACCGGGGCCCAUCCUGAAAGUCCUGGGGGUUAGCCUGGAGGCUCUCAUUAAGGAUCACCACCUACCUGCCCGUCUGUUUGUUCUUCUGCCACACUCCCAGCCAGCCAAACCCCUCCAACAUAGUUUGCUUCCUUGCCAUCAACCCACUCUCCUCAGCCUCAAAACCCCUGGAUUUCUCCCCAUUGCCACAUUCAUUAUCCUGGCAAUAAAAUCCCCUUUUUACACUAUCUUCCUGUGUC